UGCUCCUAGAUAUGAAAACAGAUCUGAACUUACUGCUUGAAUGCCUUAAAUAUCAGAUGGACUGCCCUCUGUCUCAGAAGGAGGCUUUGAUCACUAUCUAUUCCAUUUGCCAACAAAACAGUGAAGCAAGCGAAUACUUUCGAGAAAUUGGUGGUUUGAUGUUUAUAAAUGACCUUGCCAAGGCGAGUGCUCAUUGCAUCGUAAAGGAAGCAGCUUUAUUUACAUUGGGGAUUAUUAUAGAGAGUGAUGUGUAUUGUCAACAGACUUUGUGUACUUCUGCAUUGUUUGAAGACCUCAUUUUAUUUUUAAUUAAAAAGGAUUCUGGUGUGAACUUGAAAAGAAUGUCUGUUUAUGUCAUCUUAGUACUGGUUUCAAAUAAUAGUAAGUUGGGUUUUUUUCUGUGUUACAUUUCUUUUCUAUUUGCCAAUCUGCAGUCCAAAAUUUGGAACAUUGACUAAGUAAUGUUUUGGUGAAGUUAAUUAAUAAAGAUGAAUGUUUGCAUGUAACUGAACCUGAAUUGUCAAAGUAGGUUAUUGCUCCCUGGGAUUUCCUUGAA
Molecule: long non-coding RNA, 556 nt
Organism: Passer montanus (Eurasian tree sparrow)
Lineage: Eukaryota; Metazoa; Chordata; Aves; Passeriformes; Passeridae
Exons: 3
Source: RefSeq, a predicted model, not a curated record